RNAcentral lists this long non-coding RNA (532 nucleotides) under Nicotiana benthamiana. RNAcentral's name for it is "long non-coding RNA (NBEN_LNC010744)". The record is from RNAcentral. Lineage: Eukaryota; Viridiplantae; Streptophyta; Magnoliopsida; Solanales; Solanaceae.
CAAUAUCAAAGAGCUUCGCUAACAUGCGCGCGUCGUUAAUAUCACCUUCGACAAUGAAAAUAUUUUGAGAAUUUAACAGAUUUUUCCUUGCUUUUUUCAACGAAGGGUCGUAGUAAUUGUUGAAGUUGUCGAGUCCCACGACACCGUCGUCUCGUUUUUUUCAAGGCGAGGGAAACGUGGGUGCCGACGAAACCAGCUGCACCAGUUACAAGUACGGACAUGCCGUUGACGCGAUCGCCUCGUUUUUUCAAGGCGAGGGAAACGUGGGUGCCGACGAAACCAGCUGCACCGGUUACAAGUACGGACAUGCCGUUGACGCGGUGGAUUUGGGCGGAGUCACGAACUUGUUUCUCCCAAUGAAGACUACCCCACGUUGAGGAAAGAUACCGGGUACCGGAAUCCAUAAAAGACUGAAAACUCAAAUACGACGCCGUUAAAGCAAUUAAAAACAAUGCCCAUAAAAACAUUGUACUUGUUGAAGCGAAACAUCUAUGGAAUUGCCGAUUUACAGAGUAAUAAGUUUUGUCCUUGA